AGUGAACGCUGGCGGUAGGCCUAACACAUGCAAGUCGAACGGCAGCACAGUAAGAGCUUGCUCUUACGGGUGGCGAGUGGCGGACGGGUGAGGAAUACAUCGGAAUCUACUUUUUCGUGGGGGAUAACGUAGGGAAGCUUACGCUAAUACCGCAUACGACCUACGGGUGAAAGCAGUGGAUCUUCGGACCUUGCGCGAUUGAAUGAGCCGAUGUCGGAUUAGCUAGUUGGCGGGGUAAAGGCCCACCAAGGCGACGAUCCGUAGCUGGUCUGAGAGGAUGAUCAGCCACACUGGAACUGAGACACGGUCCAGACUCCUACGGGAGGCAGCAGUGGGGAAUAUUGGACAAUGGGCGCAAGCCUGAUCCAGCCAUACCGCGUGGGUGAAGAAGGCCUUCGGGUUGUAAAGCCCUUUUGUUGGGAAAGAAAAGCAGCAGGUUAAUACCCAGCUGUUCUGACGGUACCCAAAGAAUAAGCACCGGCUAACUUCGUG
Molecule: ribosomal RNA, 492 nt
Filed under: uncultured bacterium
Lineage: Bacteria
Description: partial 16S ribosomal RNA
Rfam family: Bacterial small subunit ribosomal RNA
Source: RNAcentral